Chiloscyllium plagiosum (whitespotted bambooshark) is the source of this 217-nucleotide non-coding RNA. The record is from RefSeq and is a predicted model, not a curated record. Lineage: Eukaryota; Metazoa; Chordata; Chondrichthyes; Orectolobiformes; Hemiscylliidae.
GGCCCCGGCCCCGGCCCCAACUGUACGCACGCGCAGUGCCGGGACGGGCAGGCAGCUACAAGUAAGAUAAAAAGAAGAAUUGUGGUGCAAAGCAAAUUGAUUAAAAUUUUGAGGUUAUGGUGAUGUGUCCCUUUGAGUGGACUCGAUGAGCCGAAUGACCUUACUUCUGUGGGAUAUAGAUUACUUACAGUGUGGAAACAGGCCCUUCGGCCCAACA